This 112-nucleotide ribosomal RNA is filed under the name Gemmatimonadota bacterium. RNAcentral's name for it is "Gemmatimonadetes bacterium (bioreactor metagenome) partial 23S ribosomal RNA". It matches the Rfam family "Bacterial large subunit ribosomal RNA", at positions 2813 to 2925 of the family's 2925-position model. Lineage: Bacteria; Pseudomonadati; Gemmatimonadota. The record is from RNAcentral.
CCUUGAGUCCCCUAAAGGGCCGGGAGAGACGAUCCCGUCGAUAGGCCGCACGUGGACACGUGGUAACACGUUCCGAGCGCAGCGGUCCUAAUCGCCCGUGCGGCUUGACUCA